CAUGGAGAACCUUUAAAUAUUGAACCAACAGCUUAAGUUUGGGAUUGUACUAUUCAUUACGCUUGUACUAGAUAGGUUUGUACUGUUUAGUGGUUUCUCUUUGCUCUAAUUUUUUUAUUGUAAUUGAAGCAUUACUUUAGUUAUUUUAAGCGGUGUCAGAAAAGAAAUAAUUCAUUAUCAGCAUUAUGGAAUUCCAUCCUCUUCGGCUUA
This is a non-coding RNA of Cajanus cajan (pigeon pea), 210 nucleotides long. The record is from RefSeq and is a predicted model, not a curated record. NCBI's taxonomy places the organism in Eukaryota, Viridiplantae, Streptophyta, Magnoliopsida, Fabales, Fabaceae.